RNAcentral lists this ribosomal RNA (1042 nucleotides) under Vibrio sp. RNAcentral's name for it is "bacterial SSU rRNA". It matches the Rfam family "Bacterial small subunit ribosomal RNA", at positions 426 to 1458 of the family's 1533-position model. The record is from RNAcentral. Lineage: Bacteria; Pseudomonadati; Pseudomonadota; Gammaproteobacteria; Vibrionales; Vibrionaceae.
UAAAGUACUUUCAGUUGUGAGGAAAGGGGGUAACGUUAAUAGCGUAUCUCUUGACGUUAGCAACAGAAGAAGCACCGGCUAACUCCGUGCCAGCAGCCGCGGUAAUACGGAGGGUGCGAGCGUUAAUCGGAAUUACUGGGCGUAAAGCGCAUGCAGGUGGUUCAUUAAGUCAGAUGUGAAAGCCCGGGGCUCAACCUCGGAACUGCAUUUUGAAACUGGUGAACUAGAGUACUGUAGAGGGGGGUAGAAUUUCAGGUGUAGCGGUGAAAUGCGUAGAGAUCUGAAGGAAUACCAGUGGCGAAGGCGGCCCCCUGGACAGAUACUGACACUCAGAUGCGAAAGCGUGGGGAGCAAACAGGAUUAGAUACCCCUGGUAGUCCACGCCGUAAACGAUGUCUACUUGGAGGUUGUGGCCUUGAGCCGUGGCUUUCGGAGCUAACGCGUUAAGUAGACCGCCUGGGGAGUACGGUCGCAAGAUUAAAACUCAAAUGAAUUGACGGGGGCCCGCACAAGCGGUGGAGCAUGUGGUUUAAUUCGAUGCAACGCGAAGAACCUUACCUACUCUUGACAUCCAGAGAAUCCAGCGGAGACGCAGGAGUGCCUUCGGGAGCUCUGAGACAGGUGCUGCAUGGCUGUCGUCAGCUCGUGUUGUGAAAUGUUGGGUUAAGUCCCGCAACGAGCGCAACCCUUAUCCUUGUUUGCCAGCACGUAAUGGUGGGAACUCCAGGGAGACUGCCGGUGAUAAACCGGAGGAAGGUGGGGACGACGUCAAGUCAUCAUGGCCCUUACGAGUAGGGCUACACACGUGCUACAAUGGCGCAUACAGAGGGCAGCGAGCCAGCGAUGGUAAGCGAAUCCCAAAAAGUGCGUCGUAGUCCGGAUUGGAGUCUGCAACUCGACUCCAUGAAGUCGGAAUCGCUAGUAAUCGUGAAUCAGAAUGUCACGGUGAAUACGUUCCCGGGCCUUGUACACACCGCCCGACACACCAUGGGAGUGGGCUGCAAAAGAAGUAGGUAGUCUAACCUUCGGGAGGACGCUACCA